AUUGAACGCUGGCGGCAUGCUUUACACAUGCAAGUCGAACGGUAACAGGCCGCAAGGUGCUGACGAGUGGCGAACGGGUGAGUAAUGCAUCGGAACGUGCCCAGUCGUGGGGGAUAACUACUCGAAAGAGUAGCUAAUACCGCAUACGAUCUAUGGAUGAAAGAGGGGGACCGUAAGGCCUCGCGCGAUUGGAGCGGCCGAUGUCAGAUUAGGUAGUUGGUGGGGUAAAGGCUCACCAAGCCAACGAUCUGUAGCUGGUCUGAGAGGACGACCAGCCACACUGGGACUGAGACACGGCCCAGACUCCUACGGGAGGCAGCAGUGGGGAAUUUUGGACAAUGGGCGCAAGCCUGAUCCAGCAAUGCCGCGUGCAGGAAGAAGGCCUUCGGGUUGUAAACUGCUUUUGUACGGAACGAAACGGCUCUGGUUAAUACCCGGGGCUAAUGACGGUACCGUAAGAAUAAGCACCGGCUAACUACGUG
This 482-nucleotide ribosomal RNA is filed under the name uncultured bacterium. RNAcentral's name for it is "partial 16S ribosomal RNA". It matches the Rfam family "Bacterial small subunit ribosomal RNA", at positions 30 to 507 of the family's 1533-position model. The record is from RNAcentral.